Molecule: non-coding RNA, 145 nt
Organism: Gossypium arboreum
Lineage: Eukaryota; Viridiplantae; Streptophyta; Magnoliopsida; Malvales; Malvaceae
Source: Rfam
UGUUAAAAAAUUUAUCCCUUUGUAUUAGUAAAAAUUGGUGUAACCGACAGAAUAACCAGACAGUGACAUGUGACAUGCCACGUGUACUUCAUGUUGACAUACAUGGAUCAAUUUUUAAUAGUAGAAAUUGAUGAAUAUUUUAACU